This 1720-nucleotide long non-coding RNA is filed under the name Triticum aestivum (bread wheat). RNAcentral describes it as "long non-coding RNA (TAES_LNC023701)". Lineage: Eukaryota; Viridiplantae; Streptophyta; Magnoliopsida; Poales; Poaceae. The record is from RNAcentral.
GAGCACAUAGCCACUGCAACAGCAGCAUUGAUCCUCUAUACAUUGCGCAAUUGGACGACGGUUGGGAGUAAAAAGGAACAUCACCAAGUGUACCAUAACCAAGUAAAUUAAAUCUCCACAUGAACUACCAUUCUCUCAAAGCUAUCUAGCUCACCUGCAAAAAAAAAAACCUAUCUAGCUAUUUCAAUGUUACGCCCUCUACUUGUGCGAUUUCACAAGUGGCAAACAUCAUCUGUUUCAGAAGCAUGCUAAGAUAUCGAUAUCUGCAAAAAAGAACACGGACAACAGUUCGAAUCACCAUGACUCCAUUUGUUGCAUUUUUUUCUUCUUCUUCUAGGACUGGCCUCGUCUUGUUUGUCUCUCGUCGCGAUGCACCUGUGAGCAUCAGUAACAUUGUCCAGUUAAUAAACCUAUAUGAUAAUGAAUUACCAACAAUCGUUAGUCAUAGUCAAGCUACACCGGUUCGAGCAUGUUCUGUCCAUUAACGCAUAGUGUAUAAAAAGUUUUUACAUAUUUAUUAUGCAUGUCAGAACGCCUUCUCUAGUAAAAGCUAAGUGGCAAUUUGUUGCUACUUCUUUAGUUUAAUCAUUGACACAACAUCCUUUUACCAAUCUAGCACCGCAUCAUCAUAACAACGCCUUAAAAAUUUGUGAUAAGAGUGUGGCGCUUCUCCUGGUUCUUAGCUCAACCCCCAUACUCUGGUUUGGUUAACACUUAGAGGAUUUAUUUUAAAUUUUACUGAUAUUUGUUUUAGCUAUGCUCAAACAUCAUAUAUCAAGAUAAAAGAUAGACAACCAUUAGCUUACUACAAUAUAAAAUUAUGAAGUAAUGGGUCCUGUUUACCAAGCAGAAAUGAGGAGCCCCCAGAUCCUAAAAUUGAGAUGCAACUACCACAGUUCUCAUUUACUGCUGGGAUUAGUUUGAGGGGAACUACCCAACUGAAUAAACUUUUUUGGAGACAGCAAGGGGCCGAGGAAGAGCAAGAUGCUCCUGCUUAUGUAGUAGGGGCAGAAACUGAAGAAAAGAACUAGGAAUACAAAGUAAGCCUAUUUUGCAUACUGGAACUAGGAAGUGUGAAACAUUAAUACAUUAUAGUGAAUUGCAAACUAAAUACAUGUAGCUAUUGGGUGAAGAGAUGGAUCUAGUGUAAAUCAUAAUUUUCCAACUAAAAAAGGUCAUUGGAUUUUAGGAUGCUACCAGGCUUGCACCCGCCUCCAAUCCCAUUUGUUAUCUUGUCCUCAAUUAUUCACCUAAAUCUUUCCAACCUAAUUGGCAGGACCAUUUGACUACUCACGUGGCUGUCUUUCCAUUACCAAACGGCCAUGGCUACAGGUUUUGAGGUUUAUACUAGAAGGAAAUUUCACCAACUGCUAUGAUUGAUGUCAGUUUGCUGAGAAUGCGACGAGUUACUGAACAAAAGUCAAGCUCUGAAGAUACUGAUUAUACUAUUUGCAUGCUUAUAAGAUAUGGAUAAUGCCCUUACCAUAUUAUUCUAGCCCUACCACAGCAGCAGUUUAUCGUCAACUCCACAUAGUGUUGGGUCACCUUUAUUUCCCCGUGCUUGGUCAACUCUACAUAGUGUUGGGUAUUGGGGUAAGAAAACAUAAGACAUUUACACAAAUAUGUACACUAUAAUUCCAUACCUAUGUUCUUCAAUAUGCUCUUCGGACAGCAUAAUCUCCACUUCCUCCCCACAGGCAGCACAUAUUUUAACCUCCUC